This 477-nucleotide ribosomal RNA is filed under the name Stenotrophomonas maltophilia. Its description in RNAcentral is "bacterial SSU rRNA". It matches the Rfam family "Bacterial small subunit ribosomal RNA", at positions 19 to 485 of the family's 1533-position model. Lineage: Bacteria; Pseudomonadati; Pseudomonadota; Gammaproteobacteria; Lysobacterales; Lysobacteraceae. The record is from RNAcentral.
CUGGCUCAGAGUGAACGCUGGCGGUAGGCCUAACACAUGCAAGUCGAACGGCAGCACAGGAGAGCUUGCUCUCUGGGUGGCGAGUGGCGGACGGGUGAGGAAUACAUCGGAAUCUACUCUGUCGUGGGGGAUAACGUAGGGAAACUUACGCUAAUACCGCAUACGACCUACGGGUGAAAGCAGGGGACCUUCGGGCCUUGCGCGAUUGAAUGAGCCGAUGUCGGAUUAGCUAGUUGGCGGGGUAAAGGCCCACCAAGGCGACGAUCCGUAGCUGGUCUGAGAGGAUGAUCAGCCACACUGGAACUGAGACACGGUCCAGACUCCUACGGGAGGCAGCAGUGGGGAAUAUUGGACAAUGGGCGCAAGCCUGAUCCAGCCAUACCGCGUGGGUGAAGAAGGCCUUCGGGUUGUAAAGCCCUUUUGUUGGGAAAGAAAUCCAGCUGGCUAAUACCCGGUUGGGAUGACGGUACCCAAAGA